Molecule: ribosomal RNA, 253 nt
Filed under: uncultured bacterium
Lineage: Bacteria
Description: partial 16S ribosomal RNA
Rfam family: Bacterial small subunit ribosomal RNA
Source: RNAcentral
UACGAAGGGGGCGAGCGUUGUUCGGAUUUACUGGGCGUAAAGAGCGCGCAGGCGGUCGUUCAAGUCGAGUGUGAAAUCCCUCGGCUUAACCGGGGAACUGCAUCUGAUACUGGAUGGCUUGAGUUCGGGAGAGGGAUGCGGAAUUCCAGGUGUAGCGGUGAAAUGCGUAGAUAUCUGGAGGAACACCGGUGGCGAAGGCGGCAUCCUGGACCGACACUGACGCUGAGGAGCGAAAGCCAGGGGAGCAAACGGG